GACGAACGCUGGCGGCGUGCUUAACACAUGCAAGUCGAACGAGGAGCGAUGGAAGCUUGCUUCUAUCAAUCUUAGUGGCGAACGGGUGAGUAACGCGUAAUCAACCUGCCCUUCAGAGGGGGACAACAGUUGGAAACGACUGCUAAUACCGCAUACGAUCUAAUCUCGGCAUCGAGGAUAGAUGAAAGGUGGCCUCUACAUGUAAGCUAUCACUGAAGGAGGGGAUUGCGUCUGAUUAGCUAGUUGGAGGGGUAACGGCCCACCAAGGCGAUGAUCAGUAGCCGGUCUGAGAGGAUGAACGGCCACAUUGGGACUGAGACACGGCCCAGACUCCUACGGGAGGCAGCAGUGGGGAAUCUUCCGCAAUGGACGAAAGUCUGACGGAGCAACGCCGCGUGAGCGAUGACGGCCUUCGGGUUGUAAAGCUCGGUUAAUCGGGACGAAAGGCCUUCUUGCGAAUAGUGAGAAGGAUUGACGGUACCGGAAUAGAAAGCCACGGCUAACUACGUG
This 510-nucleotide ribosomal RNA is filed under the name uncultured bacterium. RNAcentral describes it as "partial 16S ribosomal RNA". It matches the Rfam family "Bacterial small subunit ribosomal RNA", at positions 28 to 507 of the family's 1533-position model. The record is from RNAcentral.